Small nucleolar RNA from Dioscorea cayenensis subsp. rotundata (Guinea yam), 107 nucleotides. Lineage: Eukaryota; Viridiplantae; Streptophyta; Magnoliopsida; Dioscoreales; Dioscoreaceae. The record is from RefSeq and is a predicted model, not a curated record.
AGAUUGUAAUGUGGGCAUUUCCUAAACAAGUCUUUAAAUCUCUCCUAUGCCUCAAAUAAUGAUUUAGUGUCCAACUGUGCAUAAGUUGUUAUCUCUUAACACAACUU